Molecule: ribosomal RNA, 444 nt
Filed under: uncultured bacterium
Lineage: Bacteria
Description: SSU rRNA
Rfam family: Bacterial small subunit ribosomal RNA
Source: RNAcentral
AGAGCGAACGCUGGCGGCAGGCCUAACACAUGCAAGUCGAGCGCCCCGCAAGGGGGAGCGGCAGACGGGAGAGUAACACGUGGGAACGUACCCUUGGUUCGGAACAACACAGGGAAACUUGUGCUAAUACCGGAUAAGCCCUUACGGGGAAAGAUUUAUUGCCAAAGGAUCGGCCCGCGUCUGAUUAGCUUGUUGGUGAGGUAACGGCUCACCAAGGCUACGAUCAGUAGCUGGUCUGAGAGGAUGAUCAGCCUCACUGGGACUGAGACACGGCCCAGACUCCUACGGGAGGCAGCAGUGGGGAAUAUUGGACAAUGGGCGCAAGCCUGAUCCAGCCAUGCCGCGUGGAUGAUGAAGGCCCUAGGGUUGUAAAGUCCUUUCGACGGGGAAGAUAAUGACGGUACCCGUAGAAGAAGCCCCGGCUAACUUCGUGCCAGCAGCCGC